Lathyrus oleraceus (garden pea) is the source of this 1302-nucleotide long non-coding RNA. RefSeq lists it as uncharacterized. The record is from RefSeq and is a predicted model, not a curated record. Lineage: Eukaryota; Viridiplantae; Streptophyta; Magnoliopsida; Fabales; Fabaceae. The transcript has 4 exons.
CCUAAUCAAACUAAAAACUCUAUUUAAUCUCGAAUAAUCCUAGUUACUCUUAUUUAAUCAAGGUUUAUUGUUCCUAAAAAUUCAACUAAUACUAAUCAAUUCGACUAAUCCUAAUUAAAAUUCCGUUACUCCAAGAUUCUCGUCUUCAAUGUUCAACAGCAAGCGGAAAUCCAGAUAAAGUCUAAACAAUCUUCGUCUUUACCGUGUUCGACAUCAGUGAAUCGUAUGGCGCAUCAGAAGAAACGUGUCACAGAUUGAGUCGAGAUAAACUCACGGUGUUUUAACUUUGGCGCGGCGGUUCUCCGGUAAUCGAUACGUUGCACUGCUUUUCGAACUGUGAUACGCGGCCGUUGCCGAUGGAGGUUGAGGAUGGAUGAAGGGGUGAAGGCUGCAGAACCACCAGCGAAGAACAGGGGAUUGCAGGAUGAAUCCGGAGAUGAAAGUUGCCAAACUCAGAAUGGAGAACAGAGGGUUAUAGAGUGAAUAAAAGAGUUGAAGAUCAUAGAUUUUACACAACUUGUUCCAGAGUGAGAUGCUGAAGACGGAAAUUGCCAAAAAGAGAAACUCUCUCAGAAUGAGGCUAGGAGGGCUUAUAUAGAGCGCUUAGCCUAACCGAUUCGGGCGAUUCGGGGAGCCCUCGGUAAAUCGGAUGUUGCACUGUUGAAAUAUUGGAUUGCAGGUCCGUGUUAUGAUUCCGGAAUGCAUCAACUUCUGCUGCUCGAUUUGGCUUUACCGAGAGUUUUCUUGUGGGCUUGUGGUGUACAUGAUUUGGUACUGUUAUCUUGGCUUCAAGGACUCGGUAUCACACACACUAGAAACUGGUGUUGAGAACUUGUUAUGAACAUUUCAUGGCGGUUGAUAUUGAGAGGGUUGGAAGAGUUAUGUUCUGUCAUGAGUGGUCUUGAACUGUUCUCUUUGAAGACAUGUUACUAGCUAAUGAUGAAUUAAUUUGGGCUUACACUUUUUGAACUUCCUGUUAGAAAUCCAAGGCCUGCUGCUGGUUGAUUUCAUUUUGUUAAAAUAUGCAGGUGAAAACUAGAUGGAAGCGGCUUCGAUGUUGACAGUGGGAUUGUAAGCAAAUCGAAUGUCUUAGUUCCUACCUUAGUGUGACGGACUAUCAACUUUGCGUUAGGAUAUUUGGAUUUCAAAUCCAAAGAAGUGUAAUAGGUUUAUGGGUUAUUUGUAGCCAAUGUAGGAUUUGGUUUUGUAAAUUGAAUUGUUUUAGAAAUUGUUCAAGGAAAUGAAUGAUGGUUGAAUUGAAAUGAAACAAAGUGAAUAGAAAUUUAAGGUCGGUUUAAAACA